GUCAGCAUCCAUUAAUGAAACAAGAAUACAAAGGUAGUGGUGGUGCUGUCGAAUGUUUUUUUCCCAAGCCUUGGAUCCCCCAAAAUACUUAAAAAGAAACCCUCUUUUUUCCCUGGAAACAAAAAGAAAGCAUCCUAAUUCUCUCUUGUCCAAAACUCAACUAGGACGGUGGCAUCUACUGAAGAAGAAUAGCUCUGAUCUAUGCGGUCAAUUUCCUGUUCCUUGAGUUCCUCACCAUAUUCAAGUGUCUAACUGCAGAUACUGGAGAGCGGCCUUGUUUACUAAUGUUGCAACCUGGUGGCCAAAAACAGCAUAGAAAUCAAGACAAAAGGAAAUCAUUGAUAGAGAAAAUUACUACUUUUAUCUCAUUACCCUUGCUCUUAUUUGACCCCUCUUAGGAGGCAGCUGUGCAUGCAGGGCAUGUUGAGCAGGAGUAGGAUUCUGUGGAUGAAU
RNAcentral lists this unclassified non-coding RNA (453 nucleotides) under Hevea brasiliensis (rubber tree). The record is from RNAcentral. Lineage: Eukaryota; Viridiplantae; Streptophyta; Magnoliopsida; Malpighiales; Euphorbiaceae.